Molecule: small nuclear RNA, 113 nt
Organism: Bombina bombina (fire-bellied toad)
Lineage: Eukaryota; Metazoa; Chordata; Amphibia; Anura; Bombinatoridae
Product: U5 spliceosomal RNA
Exons: 1
Source: RefSeq, a predicted model, not a curated record
AUUCUCUGGUUUCUCUUCACAUCGAAUAAAGCUUUCGCCUUUACUAAAGAUUUCCGUGGAGAAGAACAUCUAUGGGUUUUCAAGAUUUUUGUUUUGAGGCUCUGCCCCUUGAA